UAUUUGCUCUGCCCAGGAAAGGUACAGAGCCCAUUCUCCUAAGUGUUGUAGCUGAUGAGAAGCUGGGCCAGCUUUCCUGUUCUGACAAAUCCAGAGAUAGCUUUCCUGCCUGUUCCAGAGGCCUAAUGUCAGAUUCCUGCCUGAAGCCUACUUCCCAGUUCUUGGCCAUUGUCAUAUUGGGUAAUAAGGGACUCUGAACUCUAAAGGACGGAACCCUCUUGGCAAUUCCAGUGUACCACAGUCAAGGCAAAGUCCAUUUUCAGGUUGCCGUUUCCGUUCCUUAGAAAAUUGGAAAUAGCUCUACCUGAAGACCCA
Molecule: long non-coding RNA, 315 nt
Organism: Grammomys surdaster
Lineage: Eukaryota; Metazoa; Chordata; Mammalia; Rodentia; Muridae
Exons: 4
Source: RefSeq, a predicted model, not a curated record